UGGGUGGUGCGGAAGCGGAGAUUCCAGAAGCAAGUAAGCAAAUCGCUGUGUUCCACGCAUCAAACAUCCCCCUGUUUCGACAUUUUUUUGAUGCAUUUUCAUGCGAUAUUUUUUCUUUUGUUUUGUCGGAGAUCAACGAUGCUCGCAUCCGGAAUCCGCCGUGGUACCUGGAUGAAGAGACGAGGAGGAGGUGGUGGGCAGGGGCGCCAUGGCGGUUGAGACUAGAUUUCGCAUCCAAUCACUCACAGCUCGCCGCUUCUACCUGCUCGGUAUCAUUGGGAAGGGGAUUCUGAAGCGUAGGGGUCUCACAAGCUCAAUUGUUACAAUGCCAAGGGGCCGAAAUCAGUAAUAAGGGUGUCCUCAACCAUCCAAUGAGGAAUUUUCAGUCUGAUGUCAAGAGCACAGAACCAGCAUCAAGGCCAAGCAGGUGGGUCGUCCCCUACUCAUCUAAUUUUUGUAGCCUUUGUAACGGUUGCCAAGUUAUCCUGCAGGGGAGAUCAAGUACAAUGCAUGAAGAAGACAUGAGAUGCAUGUGAACCAGCUCAAAUUUCUCAUCGAAUCGGCACAAUACAUGCUCUUCAUCUUGGUGUUUGGUGGCUUGAAAGUUCAUCAGAUUGUCACUGGCAACAGUGUAGUUGUAGCUCAACCUCGAUUUUUGAUUCAUGAGCAGCAUCGUAGUAGUUCUAGUAGCCCUAAUCUUUUUGUUUGGUCAGUACAACUAUGGAGGCAAGCUGGCAAUCACAUGUAUGGUAGUAGUUUUGAAACUUUUGUUAAUGCUUAGAAUUUAGAUGGGUGAAAUA
Long non-coding RNA from Panicum virgatum (switchgrass), 800 nucleotides. RefSeq lists it as uncharacterized. The record is from RefSeq and is a predicted model, not a curated record. The transcript is spliced from 6 exons. NCBI's taxonomy places the organism in Eukaryota, Viridiplantae, Streptophyta, Magnoliopsida, Poales, Poaceae.